AUCCUUCUGUUCCCUUUCCCAUCAGAUCUCAACACAGGUCUUGGUGGUUAUAAAGGAGGGAGAGCAUGCUGAAGCUGGCCUCACAGCCUUGGAGUCUGGUAUAAGCAUAUGGGCCAGAUUCAAACAGGG
Small nucleolar RNA from Nannospalax galili (Upper Galilee mountains blind mole rat), 129 nucleotides. Lineage: Eukaryota; Metazoa; Chordata; Mammalia; Rodentia; Spalacidae. The record is from Ensembl.